RNAcentral lists this ribosomal RNA (274 nucleotides) under uncultured Lachnospiraceae bacterium. RNAcentral's name for it is "partial 16S ribosomal RNA". It matches the Rfam family "Bacterial small subunit ribosomal RNA", at positions 74 to 339 of the family's 1533-position model. The record is from RNAcentral. Lineage: Bacteria; Bacillati; Bacillota; Clostridia; Lachnospirales; Lachnospiraceae.
UUUCCUUCGGGACUGAUUAUUUUGUGACUGAGUGGCGGACGGGUGAGUAACGCGUGGGUAACCUGCCUUGUACAGGGGGAUAACAGUUGGAAACGGCUGCUAAUACCGCAUAAGCGCACGGCAUCGCAUGAUGCAGUGUGAAAACUCCGGUGGUAUGAGAUGGACCCGCGUCUGAUUAGCUAGUUGGUGGGGUAACGGCCUACCAAGGCGACGAUCAGUAGCCGACCUGAGAGGGUGACCGGCCACACUGGAACUGAGACACGGUCCAGACUCC